UUUACAAUGGGCAGAAAGCAGGAGCCAUCACUGAAGGAUCUGGGGCUGGAUGUUCUGGAGGAAAGGACAAACCUGGGGUGGAUCACCACUUGGCAAAUUUAAAAGGGAGGUAGGAGGCCAGGGGCUGACCUGCCUUUGGAAUUCUAUCCAUGAAAGUCUAGUGAUCAGGCACGUCCAGUGGUCAGAAAUGCCAACCCUUCAUCUGAAGCCAGGAUACUGCUUUGCUCUAGAAGAAAGGACAGCUGGUUUUAAAGCCAAGUUCCUGUUGCUCCUAAAAUCCCAUCACUUUUUCCAGGGACUUCCAUUGACGAAAUGGCUUCCUCAAGUUUAAAGUAUCCCAGCAAAGCAGCACUAAGUCACAUCUCUACAGUUCAAAGAACAAAAGUACUUAAAAUAGGUCUUCAUUUGUCUGAACUUGAAGUUACUUUACCUGCAAAUAAGUCAGAUUAAUUUCUUGGCCCGAACCCAAAAUAAAUGGGUUUGUGUUCAUUGCAUUUUAAGGUAAGUGUGUCUCUUGUAAAUCUGCACUAGUUUGGUGGUAGCAAAGAGCUGAUAAGCCCUUCAGGGGUUCAUUAGUCAUUUUCAGAAAGCCUCUCUACCAGGAGGUCCACCUACUGGGCAGUGCAAACAUGUUCCCCAGGAACUAAAACCAUAUAAACAGACAUGUAUUUCCUAGAAACAAACCAGAUUAAGAAAAAAUACCCUGCAAUGAAAAAUCAAAAAGUAUAGUUUCUGGAGUCCUUGGAAAAAGAAAGAUGUCCUGAUCACCUGUAUUGGUCAAAACUACAGGAAAAAGCACUGUAAGAGUUCUAAGUGUUGA
Molecule: long non-coding RNA, 820 nt
Filed under: Mustela putorius furo (domestic ferret)
Lineage: Eukaryota; Metazoa; Chordata; Mammalia; Carnivora; Mustelidae
Description: lncRNA (ENSMPUG00000026428.1)
Source: RNAcentral